GUUACCUUUGUUACGACUUCACCCCAGUCAUGAAUCCUACCGUGGUAAUACGUAGGUGGGUGCAAGCGUUAAUCGGAAUUAUCAGCGUAAAAGCGCGCAGGCGGUUCGGAAAGAAAGAUGUGAAAACCUGUUCAACUUUGGAACUGCAUUUUUAACUACCGAGCUAGAGUGUGCCGAGGGAUGCGGAAUUCCGCGUGUAGCAGUGAAAUGCGUAGAUAUGCGGAGGAACACCGAUGGCGAAGGCAGCCUCCUGGGAUAACACUGACGCUCAUGCACGAAAGCGUGGGGAGCAACAGGAUUAGAUACCCUGGUAGUCCACGGUUCUAAACGAUGUCAACUAGUUGGGGCCUUCGGGCCUUGUAGCGCAGCUAACGCGAAGUUGAUCCGCGUCUGGGGAGUACGGUCGCAAGAUUAAAACUCAAAGGAAUUGACGGGGACCCGCACAGCGGUGGAUUAACGGGAUUAAUUCGAUGCAACGCGAAAAACCUACCUACCCUUGACAUGUCUGGAAUCCCGAAGAGAUUUGGAGUGCUCGGCAAUAGAGAACCAGAAACAGGUGCUGCAUGGCUGUCGUCAGCUCCGUGUCGCGAGAUGUUGGGUUAAGUCCCGCAACGAGCGGCAACCCUUGUCAUUAGUUGCUACGAAGGGCACCUAUCGACUGCCGGUGACAACCGGAGGAAGGUGGGGAUGACGUCAAGCUCAGCGGCCCUUACACGGUAGGGCUUCACACGUCACAAUGGUCGGGACAGAGGGUCGCUAACCCGCGAGGGGGAGCCAAUCCCAGAAACCCGAUCGUAGUCCGAUCGCAGUCUGCAACUCGACUGCGUGAAGUCGGAAUCGCCAAAAAUCGCGGAUCAGCAUGUCGCGGUGAAUACGUUCCCGGGGUCUUGUACACACCGCCCGUCACACCAUGGGAGUGGGUUUUACCAGAAGUAGUUAAAUGGCCUAACUGUAAGGAGGGCGAUUACCACGGUAGGAUUCAUGACUGGGGUGAAGUCGUAACAAGGUAA
This 1010-nucleotide unclassified non-coding RNA is filed under the name uncultured Bordetella sp. Its description in RNAcentral is "partial 16S-23S ribosomal RNA intergenic spacer". It matches the Rfam family "Bacterial small subunit ribosomal RNA", at positions 496 to 1499 of the family's 1533-position model. Lineage: Bacteria; Pseudomonadati; Pseudomonadota; Betaproteobacteria; Burkholderiales; Alcaligenaceae. The record is from RNAcentral.